GAGUAAUGUCUGGGAAACUGCCUGAUGGAGGGGGAUAACUACUGGAAACGGUAGCUAAUACCGCAUAACGUCGCAAGACCAAAGAGGGGGACCUUCGGGCCUCUUGCCAUCAGAUGUGCCCAGAUGGGAUUAGCUAGUAGGUGGGGUAACGGCUCACCUAGGCGACGAUCCCUAGCUGGUCUGAGAGGAUGACCAGCCACACUGGAACUGAGACACGGUCCAGACUCCUACGGGAGGCAGCAGUGGGGAAUAUUGCACAAUGGGCGCAAGCCUGAUGCAGCCAUGCCGCGUGUGUGAAGAAGGCCUUCGGGUUGUAAAGCACUUUCAGCGGGGAGGAAGGGAGUAAGGUUAAUAACCUUAUUCAUUGACGUUACCCGCAGAAGAAGCACCGGCUAACUCCGUGCCAGCAGCCGCGGUAAUACGGAGGGUGCAAGCGUUAAUCGGAAUUACUGGGCGUAAAGCGCACGCAGGCGGUCUGUCAAGUCGGAUGUGAAAUCCCCGGGCUCAACCUGGGAACUGCAUCCGAAACUGGCAGGCUUGAGUCUCGUAGAGGGAGGUAGAAUUCCAGGUGUAGCGGUGAAAUGCGUAGAGAUCUGGAGGAAUACCGGUGGCGA
Molecule: ribosomal RNA, 614 nt
Filed under: uncultured bacterium
Lineage: Bacteria
Description: bacterial SSU rRNA
Rfam family: Bacterial small subunit ribosomal RNA
Source: RNAcentral